GGGUAUUUCCGUAAAAUAUUAGCCUUUCCUAUGGACUUCAGAAACUACUGUGAGAGUCAUAAUUUUCCAUGAAACUACUGUGAGAGACAGAAUUUUCUAUGAAAAAAAUUGUAAAAGGAAAUUUCUCCGUCUCUUUUCAUUCACUCGGACACCUACCUCCAUCUUCUUCUUCUUCUUAUCCAUUCACUCACCACAUCAAUCUCUAUUCUCUUUCAAUCUCUCAGAAAAACCAAAAUUCCCAAAUCCACUUCAUUUCUCCAUCAUUCACCUUUACCAUAUAUUACUUGACAUCAUUCGAUCUGAGAAGGAAAUAUACAAACCCUAGCCAUCAACUAAAACCCAGUAAACCAUAUCAAUCACUCUCCAUCCCUGACUCUCUCUCAAUCUCUCUUAUAAUCUCUCUAAUUAAACAACACAAAUAUCACCGAAGAAGUAUCAGAAAAAUAAGUAGAGGAUGUCGAUGAAGACGGAUAAAUCGUAAGGGAUGAUUUUGCUAUAUUCUGGGUUUUCAGUAAGAACAAAUGAUGACCACAAGUAUAGAGAUCUUGUGAAAUAAUGAAAAUGUCAUCGCAGAACUUGUUCUGCAACUUGCUCAUAGUCUUCGAGAGCAAUGAGAAUCUCAAUCUCACCGUAACGAAUUGUGAGAUUUUCUAGCAAGGAUCGGAGGCCAGAGGAAAGGAAUUUCGCAGACCUAUCAACUUUAGCCGAAUUAUAUUUGCAGGAAGCAACAAAAAACUGAAGGUGUAUUUAACAAAGUUUUACAGUCUGAGAAAGUGGGGAUUUGAUGAAUGAUGAUAGAUUGAACAUAUUUUGCAUUACUCGCUUUUAAGUUUUUGAUUGGGAUUCUAUUUGUUUCCGUGUUUAAUUUAUAGGAAGCGAAAGUUUUACAAUCUGAGGAGGUGAAGAUUUAAUGAAUGAUGAUAGAUUGAACAAAUUUUACAUCCAGGACCCCUCUGAAGAUGUUGUUGUUACUAUCUGUUGUAGGCUCCUGGCCGGACGAGAUUUGUGUUCAAUACAGCUGGAGCGAAGAACUGCACUUUCUUAACACACCAGAGUUCAGGUUGUUUGACAUGAGGACCGACCACCAACUCCAGGUUUAUCAACAACCUGGAGGUAGUGAUGUUCCUACUGUGACUUCUACUGCGUUCUUAUCAUCAGGCAGGCUCUUGUUUGCUGAUAUUCCAAUGGGGAUUGCUUCAUAUGGGAUACUUUAUUAGCGAAGGUAUGAAGUUGGUUGAUGAUGAGGGCCAGCUCUACGUCCUUAGGCCCAUUCUGAAAUGCAAUAUAUUGGGAGGGAGUGUCUAACGCCAGCUCCUAUAUAACCCGAGAGGAAGUCGUUUAACAUUAUAUCUCAAGCGUGAUGACAAAGGUUUUGCGCAUCCGGAAGGGGUCCAGAAACUUGUGAAGAACUACUCGUAGUUCGUAUCGUUCCCUAUAUAUACCUGGAAAGAAAAGAGAUACAAAAGAGGUUGAGGUUGAUGAGGAUCCAGCUGAAGUAAUAAGGAAGAUGAUAGCCAAAUCGAGCUAUCCCAUUGAAGUCGAAACUAAUGCUGGCAUUGAUAUGGUGGUGGAAAUUCCAAGAGGGAGAAGGUGGAAUUAAAGUUUGAUCAUAUAGAUGGGAAUGGAUGCAGCUAUGGACCUCCCUACGAGUGUCAACUGGCAAGUGUGCUCGGAAUUCAGGAUCUCAAUUUCUUCAUGAGUUAUGGACGGGAUAUUUUACAUAUGAAAAUUAGCUACAAUCAUAUGUUUUCUUUAAAUUUCAAUUUUAGUGGAUACUUGUAUGUGUUUAAGUGUGGUUCUGGUGCUUGCCUCAAUUCCUCUUUUUUUUUUGCUGUUAAUUGAUGUAGUCUUGGUUGGUUUUUGUUUACAGCUUAGGGAUGGAGCAAUGGACCUGAUUUGACCUAGGUUGUCAGAACAUGAAGGCAUAAAUGGUGAAGUCCUGCCUUAAACUUAGUGUUGAAAUUUUAUGGUUUGUUAAGCUUGUAAUAGGAUAUUGGUCAAGGUUUUCCAACUUAGUCUCCAACUUUUUCAGACUUGGAAUUUGCAGUAUUUUAGAAAGUUGAAUGUAAACGGAGUACACUUUUUAAUACAAAUUGAGUUUUAAAGUCAAUUUUAAUAUUAUUUAAUUUUGUUA
Long non-coding RNA from Papaver somniferum (opium poppy), 2134 nucleotides. RefSeq lists it as uncharacterized. The transcript is spliced from 11 exons. The record is from RefSeq and is a predicted model, not a curated record. Lineage: Eukaryota; Viridiplantae; Streptophyta; Magnoliopsida; Ranunculales; Papaveraceae.